AAUCACAAACUAUGAACUACAAAACCCAAAAGGAUUCACCAACUACUAGACCUAGGCUCUGAUACCAAUUGAAGGAUGAUUUUGUGAAAACAUGUUCAUUUGAAUAACAUCUAUAGCAUGCAUUUAACAAUUAAAAGGCGGAAUCAUGCUUGCAUGCAUUCAAAAACAAAAACAUUACCCAUGAAAUUCAAAGCCUAGUAGAUUGGUGAACCAAGACUCAACUCAAAUCAAAGUGAGUUGAGAAAUACCUUUGUAGAUUCCUCUUUGCAUAAGCAAAGGCUAAUCACCCAAAGAGAGGGCCUUCAUUCCUUGCAUC
Molecule: long non-coding RNA, 316 nt
Filed under: Malus domestica (apple)
Lineage: Eukaryota; Viridiplantae; Streptophyta; Magnoliopsida; Rosales; Rosaceae
Description: long non-coding RNA (MDOM_LNC016916)
Source: RNAcentral